UACGGAGGGUGCUAGCGUUGUUCGGAAUCACUGGGCGUAAAGGGCGUGUAGGCGGCCUGCUAAGUCUGAUGUGAAAUCCCCUCGCUCAACGAGGGAACUGCGUCGGAUACUGGCAGACUCGAGUACCGGAGAGGAAGGUGGAAUUCCCGGUGUAGCGGUGGAAUGCGUAGAGAUCGGGAAGAACAUCAGUGGCGAAGGCGGUCUGCUGGGCCGUUGCUGACGCUGAGGCGCGACAGCGUGGGGAGCAAACAGG
This 253-nucleotide ribosomal RNA is filed under the name uncultured bacterium. RNAcentral describes it as "partial 16S ribosomal RNA". It matches the Rfam family "Bacterial small subunit ribosomal RNA", at positions 524 to 776 of the family's 1533-position model. The record is from RNAcentral.